This 2008-nucleotide ribosomal RNA is filed under the name Triticum aestivum (bread wheat). RNAcentral describes it as "partial small subunit ribosomal RNA". The record is from RNAcentral. Lineage: Eukaryota; Viridiplantae; Streptophyta; Magnoliopsida; Poales; Poaceae.
GCCCGUGUAGAAAAAAAAACACUCCCCGUCCACCACCUCCCUCGAUCCCCAACCUUUCCCCGAUCUCUCUACUGUGAGGCGCCAGCGCCGUGCAUCUCUCCCCACUCCUCGAUCUCCUAGCACCGCCGCUCCCCACUUCCCUACCUCCCGGCGCCGCCGUGCCCACUUCCCCUGCCUCCUGGUGCCGCCGCUCCCCUCCACCCCGCUUCCCCUACCUCCAAGCGCCACUGCCCCAACCUCCGGCGUGCAACCAGGCUGCCUUCCGCUGCCGCCCCUUGCUCCGGCGUGCCUCCCAUCGCCCUGGCUCCGGCACGCCUCCCACCGCCGCACCCCCGGCCCUGGUGCGCCUCCAGCCGUCGCCUUCUCUCCAACACCUGUGGCCACCGGGACCAGCGACGGCACAACCAGCUACAGAUCCAGUGGGAUUCGCCCCCACUCCUGUCCAUAGUUGGGUGGCUCGCGGCAAAACAGGGCCCCCGCGCCAAAAAACGCAGUGUCCACUCCUAUGAAAAUGCUCCUCCAAUAUCUUCAGGCGGUGUGGGCAUCCGGUCGCAGAGAGAUGUGUGGAGUGCUGCAUUCCGCUCGUUGUUGACCCCGUGGCCGCAAAGGGCCGAGAUUAUUGUCGUGUGUGGACUGCAGCGACGACCGGAUCCGACCUUCACCAGCAUCACCAUUCUUCCUUCUCCUGUUCACCAACGUGCACCGCCCGUCAUGGGUUAAGACACUACUCGGACACUUUGAGGUGCCAUCGAUGGAUGUCGUGUCAAAAAGAUUCGCUCUCUUCGGCUUUAUUGCUGGGUGGAGCAUUGCAACCACUGCUGAGACUGAGACCGGACCUACCUUCCAGCUUGCACUGGCAGUCGUCUCAUGCAUAUACUUUCUAGACGACAAGAUGAAAAACCUUAGCAGGGCGUCUACUACAGGGCUUGGACUCUUUGCGAGCGGCUGGGUAGUAGGUUUGCUGGUAGUCCCAGUGAUCCCGACAUUUAUUUUGUCGCGUACUUGGUGUCUGGAGCUCCUUACUUCGCUAGUCGCUUAUGUAUUUUUAUUCUUGGGUUGCAUCCACAGGGAUCAGACUAAAUUUUUGCCUUGUGAGGUUUCUGAAUGAACAGGUUUCACUAAAUAAAAUAGAAGAGUAAUUAUGAUUAUUUGUUCCAGACUGCAACCAAGCUAACUAGCUGCCCUUGUUUUUCAGUAUGCAUAGAUUGUUUAAAGAGGAACUUACUUCACUUUUAGUAUGAUCGGGUUUCAGAAGUAAGCUAAAACAAUAUGGUUUGCAGCAGGUUCAGGCAGUUCUUUUGUUUCAAGAUCAAGAUUACUUUCAAACUACAACCAUCGUCUACUAUUUUGUUGUCCUUUCCAUUUCCCCUUGAGUAGCAUCGUCUGUUGUUUCUUUCACCAGCAUCGUCUGUUGUUUCUUUCACCUGCAGGGUGGCUUGCGUCGGCCGCCGAAGCCCGCCGAGGUGAUGCCCUACUUCUGCCUGCGUCUCCCCGCACCCCUCCUACACACCACAAAGGGCGAUGGAGAGAUCAGAUUGUUGUUGUCGCUGUUCUUCUACUACAUAUUCAGUUCAGAAAAGUUCAGCUUCGCACAGGAUGGAAGUUCAACUGCUGGGGGCACUAGCAACAGCGGUGUUUCGCUUGAUUGUAGUUUCUGCGUUUUUGCUACUGCCAGCAAAUGAGAAGAACGGCCAGCACCAAACUACUACUGCUACUGCUUGUGUUUGCUUGCAUAGUUAAUUUGGGCGUUACCAGGAAGAAGAUAAAGCCAAAAAAAUAUGGAGUGAAAGAGAUAAACGAGUAGUGUGCCUACGUGGUGUGGAUAAGAAACGUGUGUUGUGUGAGAGGAUAAGGAAUGUGUGCGACUAUUUAGUGAUAAAAAUAACUUGUGGUUCAAAGAAAAAGCAAACGUUCUAUUUACCUAGUGCUCACGGUCAGCUAUAAAGCUUGUAUUUUUUUUAACUCUGAUUCACACUCGAACUUUAUAAAAGAAUUGGAAAUUAUUUUG